Molecule: long non-coding RNA, 1115 nt
Organism: Canis lupus familiaris (dog)
Lineage: Eukaryota; Metazoa; Chordata; Mammalia; Carnivora; Canidae
Exons: 2
Source: RefSeq, a predicted model, not a curated record
AUAGAACAUGUGGCAGUGGUGCCUUGGGAAUUCCGAGGCUAGCAUGUAUGAGACGCAGCUCCCACCUCACCAGCUGGAAUGCUCACCUCAGGCACCAUAUAAACUAGUCCACAGCCUUGAGGCCCUGGUGCCAUGAGAGAAGUAAUAUCUGACAACUGUGGGUCCCUGAAGGGGUCAAACUGCAAUGCCAACGAGUGGAUGUGGUAAAGCUGCCCUGGUGAACCAGAAGAGCAGACCUAGAGUUUCUCCAUCAGCUGGCAGUUGAGAGGCUACUUGCGACAGGAAGCCAUCUCUACCUCAAUGUAGAUCAAGCUUCAGCAGUCACGUCUCUUCCAUCCUUCCUGCUUCAUGCACACAACUAGAUCUGUUUCAACUCAGGGCUUUUUGGAGACUGGGUCCAGUGACCAUUGCUCAGGUCCAGAGGUGUCUCUUUCCUUCAAAUUUUUGCUAUGUCCAUGUUGGUUGGGUACUACAUCAUUUUACUGCGCUGUAUGUGGGCACCACUUUCAGCAAAAGAGGAGUAGUAAGCAUGCAGUGUAGAAUAUUAUAAAAGAUCAAAACAGCUAACAGUCUGCUACUAGCAUGCAGUCAAAAGAUAAGACAUACUAGAAAAAAAAUCUGUUAGAAGCUCUUUAUUAGAAUAGCCAAUUAGACCUAAAAGGUAAUAGGAGACCAGAAGCUUGAUGACAAGAAAUGGAGACUGGUCAAGAAAAAUUAGACAUGUGGUUCUAAAUCCUGAGUUAGAAAAAUGAACAAUUUGAAAGAAACACUAUCAACUAUACUGAAUAUAUUUUUGUAAGAAUAAGAAGGGAACCAGAGAAUAUUCCAAAGAUACUCAAUUGUUGAAAAUCUUAAAUGUACUACUUCCAAAAUGAACAGACAGAAAUGGAGGCUUGAGAAACAAAAUACAAGAUCUGAGAAAACAUAAUCAAAUACUUCUCUAAAGACUGUCAGCAUUGAAGCAAACUCUCUAAUCACACAUGGCAAAAAACAAAAACAAAAACAAAAACAAAAAACAAAAAACCACCUCACUAUAUUGGGUUUUGGAGCAUUUUCAUGGAGUAUGAUUUGGAAGUUUCACUGGAUGUGGUGUUGAGUGUAACUGUUGACAAAAA